This 97-nucleotide ribosomal RNA is filed under the name Candidatus Hodgkinia cicadicola. Lineage: Bacteria; Pseudomonadati; Pseudomonadota; Alphaproteobacteria; Hyphomicrobiales. The record is from RNAcentral.
GUGAUUUAGUUUAAGAACAACGACACAUCACCAUGCCGAACAUGAAUAGUUAAGAACUUAAACACCUGUAGUACUUAAUUAAAGGGAGAAUGGGUUU